RNAcentral lists this ribosomal RNA (777 nucleotides) under uncultured Neocallimastigales. Its description in RNAcentral is "partial large subunit ribosomal RNA". It matches the Rfam family "Eukaryotic large subunit ribosomal RNA", at positions 24 to 635 of the family's 3401-position model. The record is from RNAcentral. Lineage: Eukaryota; Fungi; Neocallimastigomycota; Neocallimastigomycetes; Neocallimastigales.
GUAGUCUCGCACAGAUGCAUAUCAAUAAGCGGAGGAAAAGAAACUAACAAGGAUUCCCUCAGUAACGGCGAGUGAAGCGGGAAGAGCUCAAAUUUGAAAUCUUGAAGGUUUUACCUUGACGAAUUGUAGUUUAAAGAAGUGUUUUCUGUUACGAUCGUAAUAUAAGUUCUUUGGAAUAGGACAUCACAGAGGGUGAGAAUCCCGUCUAUGAUUGCGAUUUGUAGCUUUGUGAUACACUUUCAAAGAGUCGGGUUGUUUGGGAAUGCAGCCCAAAACGGGAGGUAAAUUUCUUCUAAGGCUAAAUAUUGGCGAGAGACCGAUAGCGAACAAGUACCGUGAGGGAAAGAUGAAAAGAACUUUGAAAAGAGAGUUAAACAGUACGUGAAAUUGUCAAAAGGGAAGCGUUUGACACCAGUGUUGUUUUCUCGAAAAUCAAUUAAAAAGAGUUAGAUUUUGUUGUGUAUUGACCUUAACAGCUUGCAUUUCAAUUUUCUUGCCUUUUUUUUUAAUGCACUUUUCGUUUAACAAGUCAACAUCAGUUUCUUUUGUUGUAAAAAGGUCAUUGGAAGGUGGCUUUCUUUUCGGAGAAAGUGUUUAUAGCCUUUGACUCCUGCAAUCGGAGAGACUGAGGUCUGCAGCGUAGAUCCUUCGGGGUUAGAUACAUUUGUGCUAAGUUAUAGCUUUUUAUAGACAACUUGUUGACUAUGAUUAGUCUUGUAGCUUACUCGCUUAUGCUAUUUUACCUACGCUUAGGAUGUUGAAGAUGUAGCACAUCAU